UCGUUGUUGGUGGUGGUUUCUGCUCGUCGUCGUUGCUGCUCGUCGUCGUUGCUGCUCGUUGUUGGUGGUGGUCAGUGUGGAACUAUCGUUGUUGGUGGUGGUCGUUGCUGGUCGUCGUUCCUCGUCGUCGUUGCUGCUCGUUGUUGGUGGUGGUCGUUGCUCGUCGUCGUUGCUUGUCGUCGUUCCUCGUCGUCGUUGCUGCUCGUUGUUGGUGGUGGUCAGUGUGGAACUAUCUCUGAGUUUCUGUAGUUGAAGAUGAAAGGUCGCGCGAAAGGGUUUUUGGAACUGAUUCAAUUUGAGUAGUGUCGUUUUUUGUUCUGUUUUGAGUCUUGUUAUGUCGUUUUGACUGUAAGUUUUGAGUGGGUAAAAACUAAAUAUCUAUAUUUGACAAUAAAGCACAAUGGCACAUGUAGUAAUUUUAGUGCUCUUCAAUGUUAUUUUAGUAAAAGUAGGUGUUACUUUAUUGUCUUUGGUCUUAUAUUAAUUAAGUAAAAUUGUAUAUCUAUCUUUCAAAUUAGUAAAGUAUUUUAUGUUUUAAAACUAAAGCUCCCUAGAAUUUAUUAAUUGCUAAUAGUGGCACGCUCACAAUUCACAUUUUUACAAAAUCUGUUCUAAGACUUUGUUGCUUUUUUAAGGGUAUCACUUGAAUAUCCAUAGUUUUUAAUUAAACAUAACAAAGAAAAGAAGGGAAAGGAGAAAAAAGACCAGUUGAAAUAAGCUAGCAUUCCUAUUUUUCAUUUUCCCCUUCCUCUUCCAUUUCCACGGCAAAGUUAAAUUAAACAAACUCCAAGGUUUAAGCUACAGAGACUUCUAAACCAAGGAAGACAAAGCUCAAGGGAUUUAUGCCCCAUUUGGGAGUG
Molecule: long non-coding RNA, 860 nt
Filed under: Prunus persica (peach)
Lineage: Eukaryota; Viridiplantae; Streptophyta; Magnoliopsida; Rosales; Rosaceae
Description: long non-coding RNA (PPER_LNC001964)
Source: RNAcentral